AUUGAACGCUGGCGGCAUGCCUUACACAUGCAAGUCGAACGGUAACAGGUUAAGCUGACGAGUGGCGAACGGGUGAGUAAUGUAUCGGAACGUGCCCAGUCGUGGGGGAUAACUACUCGAAAGAGUGGCUAAUACCGCAUACGACCUGAGGGUGAAAGCGGGGGACCGUAAGGCCUCGCGCGAUUGGAGCGGCCGAUAUCAGAUUAGCUAGUUGGCGGGGUAAAAGCCCACCAAGGCGACGAUCUGUAGCUGGUCUGAGAGGACGACCAGCCACACUGGGACUGAGACACGGCCCAGACUCCUACGGGAGGCAGCAGUGGGGAAUUUUGGACAAUGGACGCAAGUCUGAUCCAGCAAUGCCGCGUGCAGGAUGAAGGCCUUCGGUUGUAACGUAGCUUUUCGUUACGGUAACGGAAACGGUAGGAGC
RNAcentral lists this ribosomal RNA (427 nucleotides) under uncultured bacterium. RNAcentral's name for it is "bacterial SSU rRNA". It matches the Rfam family "Bacterial small subunit ribosomal RNA", at positions 30 to 464 of the family's 1533-position model. The record is from RNAcentral.